RNAcentral lists this long non-coding RNA (12160 nucleotides) under Jatropha curcas. RNAcentral describes it as "long non-coding RNA (JCUR_LNC000759)". The stretch from base 1186 to 1258 matches the Rfam family "tRNA". The record is from RNAcentral. Lineage: Eukaryota; Viridiplantae; Streptophyta; Magnoliopsida; Malpighiales; Euphorbiaceae.
AAGCAAGAAAGCAAGCAGCAAUAUCAAUAUUUUUCAUGAUCAUGGAGAGGUAAUUCUUCUAUUUUUAACAUUUUCAAUUUUUGAUUUUAUUUUCUUAUGUAGACCAUCCUGUCAUUUAAUAUUGUUUGUGCAGUUUGAUGAAGAAGUUGCUACUGUUGGUGAUGUUUAUCGUAGUUGUUGGAUCAAUUACACUUUCUCUGGAGGUUGCAGUUGCAGGGAAGGAUCUUGAAGAUGGAAGGAAAGGGAAAUUUGGGAAUCUUCAUGCAACACUUGCAGAGUAUAAAAACAAAAAAAUGGUUUUUAGCUCAGAAAAGAUGGUUGAAGAGAGAAUGCCAAGAGGUAUAGUACCUCCAUCAGGUGGAAGCCCAUGUACACACAUUGCUAGAGGUUCUGGUCACUGUAUCCAUGGUUGAUUAGGUAGUGUUUGAAGGACGUGUUUGGCUUGUUUACAAUUAAUAAUAAUCUGGUCACUGUAUCAGGUGUUGAAUUAUCUAUACCCGGUCGAGGGCGCAUUAUGUUCGAAUUAGAUUAAUGAAAAUAAAUUUUUUUUCUUUUCGAAACGAGAGUAUUUCUAAACGUUCAUUGAAAAAGAUAAUAAAGUUAAAACAAUUUUUUCACACAAUAAUUAGUUUUCAACUUAAUAUUAAAUUUUUUUUAAAAAAAUUGUAAAAUUGCAAGCAUGAAUCUCUUUUGAAGUCUAAUUAACAUUAAAAAAAAAAAACUUUCCUUAAAAGCUGAAGGCAAAUUAAGUAGCACAUCCAUAGAUCAUGCAUGGGAAGGUAAUUAAGUCAUCUUUUCUUAAAUCAAAAAUUUUUUUUUGUUACUAUUCUAUGUACAAAUAAAAAGUUGUCCAGUAGCUAUAAAUUAUAGCAUUAACAAGUAUAAGAGUACUAGGCAAUUGAUGAAUGAACUUGCAGGAUGAAAAUCACAAAUUUGUUCACUGUUUAAAAAAUAAGGAUAAAAAUAUUCAAAAAAGAAAAAGGAUAAAUGCGCUGUUAAACUUUUGUUUCAAAAUGACUCGUUUUUCAAAUUAUAAUUUUUUAUUAUUAUCAUUUUAGGUCAGAAACUGUUUCAAAAUGACACGUUUUUCAAAUUAUACUUUUUUAUUAUUAUCAUUUUAGGUCAGAAACUGGGUUAAAUACAAAGUCUAUUAGUAAUUUAUACUCCAUUGAACAAUCAAUCAGAGGUGAUGUAGCUCAAACGGUAGAGCGCUCGCUUUGCAUGCGAAAAGCACGGGGUUCGAUACCCCGCAUCUCCAAGUCACAUUUUUUUCCUAAUUUAGUUUUUAAAAAAUUUUUUGGCUAUAAGACUACAAACCACAUGGAAAAACAUAGUAAGAAACUUAGAUUAUCUGAUAAUGUACUCAUUUUCAUAAUGUGAAAUUGUGAAUUAAUGGUCAGAAAAAAGUAGAAAAAUAUUAUGCAUGCUAUAACAAGCAAAGCAACCCACAAAAGUAGAGAAAAUACCGUAUAACAUGCAUCUAAUAAUUCUUUUAAUUAACAAAUUACUCCAGAGAUGGUAGAAUUUGUUUUUCAAAUCAGACUUAGUGUUUAUCAUAUAUAUAACAAAGUUGAUUUAGACCUUUUCAUUCGUGCUAAACCAUCAGUAGUAAUAAUGAUAAUACUAAUAUACUUCCAAUUUUCAGUCUUAAUUACUAUAUUUGAUUUGUCAUAUGUUAAUAAAUAAGUAUUAGAAUGAAUUGUUCAACACUCUUUCUUCUUUAAGUGAGUUCAAUGGUUUAAUUGUAGAUGGAGCAAAUAUUCGAAGGACUUUGAUUUUGUCAUAAUUUUCCGUUAUUGCCGUGUAAUUUGAGUAAAAAAAACAUAUGAUGAUAUUAAAGUUAAAUCUACACUUAUGGAGAAAAUUUUCCGUCACUGUGGAAAAAAAUUUUACAUUGGUGACAUUCCAACUCAGAUAUACACUCAGAAAUUAGUGGAAGCAUGCCAAAAGUUGGAUUGUCCUUCGUACCAUCGACUGAUAAAGCAAAAUAUAUUAAUUUUUCAGACUAAAUUAUUUUAACAUCUAUGGCUUUACUCUUCUCCAAGUCUUUUUAAGUGCUAGGUUUCAUUUCCUCGCAAUUCACAUCAGGGUAAAUUAUUUUUCUGACAAUAUAUAGAUACAGUCUUAACUGUUCAUUGUUGUGCAGUUUGAGAAUGAAGUUGGUAGUGUUGGUAAUGAUUGUUGUUGGAUUAAUCAUAUUUAGUGUUGAAGCUGAAGGAAGGAAAGAACAAAUUAGCAGUUGGAGGACUAUCAAAUUUGUUAUUAUAUGUAAUAGGAAGUCAAUCACCCAGAGUCAAUACGAUCUAUAUUUUAAUUUAGUUGAUUGAGCAUUAUUGUGGCGACUGGAGAAAAUUUACAUUGAUACAGAAAUUAGUGGAAGAUUGCAAAAAUGAUUAUUUUAAUUUAGCCUUCAGGAUUGACUUGGACUAAUUAAGCAAAGAAAAGAUGUUUUUAAGUACUAAGUAAUUGCUUUCCUUGAAAAUGCAUUUUGAAGAAAAGAUGUGACUCCAAGUAUUUAAGUACUAGACUUCAUUACCUCUACCUUCAUCAAGUUAUUUUCGAACCACCAGGGCAAAAUCAUCAACAUAGAUACAGAAAUUAUCAUGAAGAGGUAAUUCUUUUUUUUUUUUGCUACAAAUUUAUCGGCUUUUUUUUGCUGUUAUGUUUGACAUAAUUUUGCUCUAUUUCCCUAAUUAAUUGAAGUUAUACAAUUUGUUGUGCAGUUUGAGCAUGAAACUGCUAAUCCUAGUCUUGAUCGUUGUUGGAUCAAUCUCAUUCAGCGUUGAAGCUCAAGGAAGAAAAGAAAAAAUUAGAUAUUGGGGCACUCGCAAAAUGGUAUAUGAAGAGGGAAAAAAACACAUCAUGGUAAAGUUGAAAAAAGAUGAAAACUUGCGACUUGGUUUGAAGCUAAUGGGACUCGUGUAUUCUAGUUCUCAAUCCUCCCCUAGUAUCUCUAGACCCGCCGGAAGUGGUUGAUUAUGUAGUCGAGAGAAGAAGAAGAAGAUAGGGAAGCUUGUAUUCAAAUUUUUUGAGAUUUAUUUCUAAAAAAAAAAUUAUAAAUUUCCUAAAUAUUAACGAAAUAAGAAUGUUUUAUGCUUUAUUUAAUAAUUAUUUUUAUUUAAAAUAUAUAAUACGUUUGAGUAUAGGGGAAGAGAAAUCUUUUUGUUUGGGAAAACUUCAUCACAUCACAUAGUAACAGUGGAUUAAAUCAAAAUGUUUCUUCUUUUUUUUUUUUUUUUUUUGAAAAAUAAAUAUUUAUGUUAAACUCUCUGCAGGACCUGUCCAAAAUUCACAGUUGUCUAAUCCUUGACCAACUGUUUUCACCGGGUGAUAAUUUUGGUUUUGUAAUUUCCUGUUAAUCACAAAUUUGGAUUUUAAUUGACAAUUUAUCAGUAUGUAAAUGAUUCAAAUUCUUAACUACACUACUAAAUAAAUAAAUUAUAUUCGAACAAUUAGUUUAGAAUUAUAAAAGCAUAGGAGUUUAUCACAAUAAGCAUUAAGGGUUCAUUUGCAUUAGUUGUUAAUACUAGAUGGUAACUGGUGGCUGAUGGCUCAUUAGUGAUAAAGGUGUUUGAUAAAAUUUUAGUAAUCGUUGAACACAAGGUAUGUAGCACCUUUAAAAUUUGAUAGGGACCAUUUUAUGUCCUUCAUGAGUAUCCCUAGCACAAAUACAGAGAAGUCGGCUCAGUAGACUUUGAAUAUCAGAUGGUUCCCAUAAAAAAGAAAAAGGAGAAUACAAUUUAUAGGGAGACAUAUAUAGCAUUAGUAAGACACCCUAUUUACUAUGCAUAGAUAAGAAAAAGGUACGAAAUUUGUUUUAUUUAUUAUUUACUUUGUCAAAAUUUUUAUUUUUUCAUGUAAUUGCUUUUCUAUAACACAUAUUUUUUUUUAAUUUUUUAAGGUGAAUGUAUUUUUUAUUUGAAUGUAUUAUAUAAAUCAUAUUAAACAUUUUAAAAUUAUAUUUAAUAGAAAAUUAUUAUUUUUUAAAACAACUACAAGUAAAAUGAUUAAAAGAUAUUAAUUUGAAAAAAAUAAUUUUAUUAGUAAUUAUUUUUGUGAGUUUAAUGAAGUUCAAAUAUAAUAUAAAUGCAAAAUAAGAUAUUAAAUGAUAAGAAAAAUUUCUAAAACAUACUGAUGGAAUGAAUAGCAAUUAGAUAGCUGAUUGAAAAGCUUAUCAAACACUUAUAAUCUACCUAUUUUAUACAAAUUAGUUAUUAGCUUCAUUAAUCAGCUGAAUUAAAUGAAACCAUAAUUUAAAGUAGGAUGUUUAGAUAGAGUUGCAAGCCAAUAAUAUAUAAAUAAUCGCAGACCCCGCUUUUAAAAUAGCUACAAGAUAAAUAUAUAAAUAUAAUUUUUGAAAUUUAAAAGAAGUAAAUGUCGAAAAGAGAAAAAAAAAAUAAAAAAUUUAUAAGAUCCACUUAUAUAUUUAUAUAUUUAUUAUUAGUUUAUCAUUGAGGCAAGAUGCUCUAUAUGAAAUCUCGGUCGUAAUUUAUAAACUGUCCUUAAUUUAAAUUCAUUGAACUUCUUAAUAUUUUAAAAUAAAUUGUCUUUGAUUUGAGUUUUAAAAAUUAAAAAUAUGUAAUCAAAUCAAACACUCUUUACGUAGCCUUUUACGCGCUUUCUUUGGUCAAAUUUGUAAAAAAAAAAAAAAAUUAAUAAAGUAUGGAUAUUUGGAGGGUUGACUUGGACCAACAAGGCGUGGGUUCAGGGAUAGCCAAAAUCUGAUUUUCGGAACCAGAAUCGCCGAUUUCGAACCGGUGAGAAUCGGAAUUGAAAUCCGAACCAGUGAAAAUCGGAACUAGAAUCGGUCCGAACCGUUAAAAGUUGUUAGCUAGUAGAGUUGUUAGCUGUUUUAGUAGUUUUUCAUGAAACGUUAGAAGUUAAAUGUUAUAUGAGUUAACUUUUCAUAAAAUAUUAUUUUAACCUCUAAAAAUUAGUUAAAAAGCUAUGUUACCGAACAUUUUUUUAAGUAGUGUUUAGUGUUUUGACCAGCCAAAAAUACUAAAAAUUACUUGAAAAGUUGUUACCAAACACAAACAUUAGGCGUGGUUAGUAUAAUUUUUGAAUAAUAAUUAUAAUAUUUUUUUUUAAUUUUUUCAUAAAUAUUUAAUCAAUUUAAUUUUACAAAUAAAGUUUUCGAUAGAAUAAUUUUUUAUAAAUUUAUGAUUUGAAGAAUACAAUAGAUACCUGUAAAAUUUAAUAUGUGAUUCGCUUCAACGCAUAAACUUCUGAAAUAUUUUUAUAUAUUUGGCCNNNNNNNNNNNNNNNNNNNNNNNNNNNNNNNNNNNNNNNNNNNNNNNNNNNNNNNNNNNNNNNNNNNNNNNNNNNNNNNNNNNNNNNNNNNNNNNNNNNNNNNNNNNNNNNNNNNNNNNNNNNNNNNNNNNNNNNNNNNNNNNNNNNNNNNNNNNNNNNNNNNNNNNNNNNNNNNNNNNNNNNNNNNNNNNNNNNNNNNNNNNNNNNNNNNNNNNNNNNNNNNNNNNNNNNNNNNNNNNNNNNNNNNNNNNNNNNNNNNNNNNNNNNNNNNNNNNNNNNNNNNNNNNNNNNNNNNNNNNNNNNNNNNNNNNNNNNNNNNNNNNNNNNNNNNNNNNNNNNNNNNNNNNNNNNNNNNNNNNNNNNNNNNNNNNNNNNNNNNNNNNNNNNNNNNNNNNNNNNNNNNNNNNNNNNNNNNNNNNNNNNNNNNNNNNNNNNNNNNNNNNNNNNNNNNNNNNNNNNNNNNNNNNNNNNNNNNNNNNNNNNNNNNNNNNNNNNNNNNNNNNNNNNNNNNNNNNNNNNNNNNNNNNNNNNNNNGAAGGAGAGCAUUCCGGUGGUGGACCAAGUCCUUAUACCCAUAUUCCCCGUAGGGAAAGUUGCCCCGAUGGUGGACUAAGUCCUUAUACCCAUAAUUUCGAAGAAAAAACAAGUCCUGCUACCCAGGUUGCCCGUAGGGAAAGUUGUCCCGGCGGCCAUGGUUGAUUGUUAAGUAAUAGAUAGGAAUAUGGAAAGAUUAAUGUAAUAAUAUAGCUAGAGUAUUAAUUAUUAAUUUUUUAUAUAUUGAUAGAGUUGAAAUUAAAUAAAAUUGAUAGUAAUAUCAUUAGUAUGACUAUUCUUAUUACUGACUCAACCCAAUCCGAUCUAAUUAUAACUAACCGGACCUGUUUAGUAGCAAUAUAUUUUUGCUACUAUUUUGUUUUUCUUAUAGUGACAACUAAUUCUUUUCUUUUUUUUGUUUUUUAAAACUGCAACCUAUUAAUUGACUAUAGACUCUAACCUUCUUAAAAAAUUUAUUUCUCAUAUGGCUUAUUACUUAGAUCAACAAGUUGUUGAUGAUACUUAUAUUAUUUUCGACUCAUGAUAUUGACUCAAGAUAAGAAUAGUAAUUGACUAAAUAAUAAGUCCACAUUUAAUUCAAAUAAAUUCUGAAAUAUUUUUUAAAACUUAAAUUUUACAAAGUUCAUCUAAUUAAGCUAAAUCAUAUAGUUCAUAAAUAAAUUUUAUAAUUAUUUCCAUUAACACCAAACAAGGGCUGGUAUCAAUAGAACCUGCAAUUUGGAGAAAACAAAAGAUACUGGAAGCUAAGAAAUUAUUAACCAAGUACUCAAACAUACUUAUUUUUUUUGAGUAUCUGGAGAGAGAGAAUUCGAAUCUGAAUCUAUUAUCUUGUUAUAUAUGCAUUUAUUAUUAGAUUAUAUCUUGGUGUGUGAGUAUCCAAAUAAAUUAAAAAUGGAUACAGAUAGAUAAAAUUUAAAUAAAAUUCAGGUACAAUUAAUUUAAACAUUUACAAUAUCCAUAUCGCUUCCAUCUCUGUGCCCUAUCUCGUAAUUCGUGCUUGGAAUUGAGGCUCUGUGAUUUUAUAUCAUAUCACGUCUCUUUUGAUUUGACUUUCCAAUAAUUUUGUUUCUUGAUAAAUACUUUUCUUAACUCUUAGUCCUUAAAAUAACAAUUUCACUAUUGUAAGCAAAUGCAGUGACUUUUAUGCUUAAAAUGGAAAAUCAUAUAUGUUCCAAUUCAUAACUAGAGAUUUUAGAUUUUAAUUUGCCAAGAAAAAUUACAAGCUAAAAUAGGUCCUACUCAGUAAUUUUAGUCUUUUAGGCAAAUUUUUUCUCCGUCUCUUUCUUUCAAAACUUAAAAACUCUGUUCUAUUUUUCCGCGGGCGCUUACCGGUGAGCUCUUGCUAGUGGUUACUUUUUUUCCUUUUUUUGUUUGUUUUUUACAAAUAAUAUACAAACUUGAUUUAUUGUCAUUCAAAUAUUGAAAUUUAUUAUUGCUCAUAUCUUGAGAUUUUAUUUUUAGAUCUAGUUCUAAGUUAUUGUUAUCACCAUUAUGUGAUUUUGUCUAGCGUUUUUUAUUAUUUAGAUAAUUAUACAGAAAGAAAUGAGAUUGGACUUGUAAAGGACCAUCGAAUCGAGUAGUGGCCAUGAAUAGCACUAAGUGGAGCGAGCGAUCGCCUAGACAUAAAUAUGAUACUCUGUCAAUUCGAUUAGAUACUUUAAAUCAAUAUUGUAUUUUUUUUUAUUUUUUGUAUAAAUAGUUUAUUAUUAGAUUUUUUAUACAAAAAUAUAAAAACAUAUUGAUCAUUACACUCAUAUUUGUAUACAAUUCCCUAUUAAUGAAAUUUUAAUUUGAUUUAUUCUCAAAGGUCCUACUCUAUUGACUUGGACUAACAAGUCUUUUGAUGUUACUCCAAGUGGUUUAAGUACCAGGCUUCAUCACCUGCCUUCCCACAUCAAUUUAGAACCAAUUAGGCAAAACCAUUCUCUCAUACAGAAAUUAUCAUGAACAGGUAAUUUUACUUUUCUUCUGGUUGUUUUUAAUGCAUUUGCUUUCCCCUCAAACAAAAAAAAGCUUUGGAAUAGGUAAUAUAGCAAGUGAAUUAAAUGUAAAAUUUUGAAUAUUUAAUUUAUGAUGGUGGAAUUUGGUUCAUUAAAUCAAUAUUUGAUUGUCUGAUCUACAUUUUUAAGACAAUCAAUUUCACUAAAAAUGAGAUUGGAGGUAAUUAAAUUGAAAAAAAAAAAUGAAUUCUAUUGUUUUUUUUUUUUUUACAUAAUUGCAUUUUAUUUCGCACUUAAAUAUAUGAAUAAUAUAAUUAAUUAACGUUUAACCCAUCGCCGUCUAGUCCUAACGCUGUGCCAGCUGGAAAUCCGCCUAGUCCGCCGGAUUCUGGAACUAACCAACCAAGUCCGCCGGAUUCUGGACCUAACCAACCAAGCAAUCCAAGCCCACCGCAAUUUAGUUCUCCUCCUCCGCCUGAUUCUAAUCUCAUUAUUCCUCCGCCGCCCCCAGCGCCAGAACCGAUAUUAUUGUUGUCUCCGCCUCCGCCAGUCGCGCCGGCUAUAACUGGAGCUCCGCCGCCAUCGUAUAAUCCGCCGAGUAGCACGGAGUUGGUGACUCCAGGUCCUGUGCAUGCUUAGCCACUUGGUCAAAGGUUUUAUCUUUUUUUUAUAUAUAUAUUUUGUAUUUUCAAUUGUCAGUUUCCUUUUUUAGGAUAAAAUUUUGAUGGGGUUGUACAGAGGUGGUAUUUUGAUUGUUUCUUAUUUUUCAAUUUUUGGUUUUGAAUUGUAAUGGUGGAUUGCGGUCACUAUUCUUGAAAAUUUGUUGAAUUUAAAUUUAUGAUCUUUAUUGAUCUGAUUAUCAAACAAAUGUGUAUGCAUAUUUUUCCCAUAUUUUCUUUUUUUUUUUUCCCCUAUUAUCUUUGCUGUGAAAAGUUAAUUUUGCAACACCCUGUGUUCUUCGUAUUGACUACUGUGGGAAAUUUGAUAUUGAGGUGAUAUUGUAAUUUUUCACCUUAAAUCAGAUUUAUCAAUGGAUAAAGAGUUGAGAUAUUGCUAUUGAUGAUUCAAGUAGUUGAUGGGCUGCAAAUUAGCAAUCUGGCUUUGCUAUUCAUUCUCAUUUCAGAUGAUUGAAAUCAAAUGAUAUUAUCUUACUCUGAAGACGCCAUCGAAGAACAAUUGGGCAUUCUCCUCUUCAUUUUAUGGAUAAUCCAAAAAUUCUGUAACGAUUGCUAAUUGAUAAUCAUGUAAGAGAUGGGUAAAAAUAUCUAAAGUCAGGAGUUUCAGCAAAAUCUGCAAUUCUUUAGUUUCUCAUCUCUAUCACAGGUUGGUUUGGGGGAUCAAGAUUGCAGCUUGAAGCUGUGCAGCAAUAUUAGCAAUACAUGGAAGAACUCUUGCUGGGAAUUUAUGGAGGUAAAAUAUUUUGAAGCCUUUCUUGACAUAAUUAGAUAUUGCUGAUAUUAUAAAGUAUUUUCAUCACAUGGAGCUGAGGCACCUUGUUUCACAAUCAAAGAUGUUUUAGUUUCUUUCAUGAAAUUAAGCAUAGUACUGAUUGGUGCAUUAUUGGAAUAAGUCAUCAUAUUUGUAUACUGAAAGCUUACUCAAGUCUUCUUUUUAAAAAGAAUCUGCAAGUUGUAGCGCUCUAAUAGUAAAUUGUUGCUUUGACGUAUUUGCAGCUGCUGAUAAUAAGUGUAUUUUGGAAAUCCAGUUCCCAGUAGGAAAUGUUCUGCUUCGUGGCAGAAAUCUUAUACAGAGAUAAGAAGAAUAGAGCUCCAAAAGCUAUUGUGGUGAGUCUAAUAUUUGUGAUAUGCCCUCGAAACUUCCGUUGAAGUUUGAUGUGUUCAAGCAAUAUGGAUUUUUCUUUAAAAUUUUUUAAACAAAAUUACCACUGGUAAGAUUCUUCUGAUCGUCAAUAUGGCAUGCAAUUGUCUUUGUCGAAUGCAUUAGUUCCCUAUUUCUAGGUCAUAUUGUAAUGUUAUAUCCCAUGUUUUUGUGGGCACCAACCCUGUGCUUUCGAUGAAGUAUUUUUAGAUAUCUACGAAUCAUAUCUAAACUACGUGCAGACAUAAGAAUGAUAUCCGUGGUAUGAUUUUUGCUGCCAGUUGAUCAAACUCCUACAUUCUGCUUCAUGUGAAAAUGAGCAAUAGCUUGUUUGGUACUAGAUAAUGGACAUAUAAAAUAUAAUGUAAUGUAGGCUCCGUUUGUUUCCGUAAAAUAAUUUGCAGGAAAAUAUUUUCUAUAAUUUUCUGUUAUUUGGGGUACUUAGGAAAAUAUUACAGCCAAACAACGGAAAAUAUUACAACCAAAAUAUUGCUUAGGGAAAUAUUUUUAACUAAUUUUCAAUAUUACAACCAAACAACGGUAAAUAAGUUAUUUGAAAAAUUAUUUUCAGCAAGUUAUUUUCCUGCAAGUUAUUUUAUGGAAACAUAUGGAGCCGUAAUCAAAAGUGUUGUUUGCAUUAGAUUCUAUUACAAUGUACCAAAUAUAGUUUACCAUGUGUUGGGUUAGCUUGUUAUGAGAAAUUGAGGUCACCAAACAAGGAAUUUAUGGAGGGCUGAGAAGAAAACUCAGAUAUAAUUUGAAGUUGAACUAAUAGCAACCAGCAAUGGCAAGGUAACAAAAGCAUUAGACUUCAUAUCCUCCCCUUCCUUUUUGUUUUAAUGUUAAGUGGCUUGUACAGUUCUUGAAGCAAGAGUUGAAUACUUGUUCUUGAUGUUUCUUCGUCUUCUUCUUCUUUAGAAAAGAAGAGCACAAAAGAAAAGGAAAGAAAAGAUGAAGUUCUCUUAAUUGAUAAUGAAGUUGCUAGUCAUAGUGAUGUUUAUUGGUAUUGGAUUGAUCUCAUCAUUUUCUCUUCAAGUUGAAGCUGAACAAUUUGUUUGGCAAAAGGGAAAGAAAGAGAAAUUUGGGAAUCAGGCACCUAUAAAAGAUGAACAUUCUGGAAGAACUAGAAACUUUGCCAAUGAAGAUAUGGAGGGAAACCAUAUGAUAACAAAUUGGAGAAUAUACAGAAACCUGCUUGCUGGUUCAAAGAAGGAUGUGCCGAUGAUUAAAUGUACUCAAAGUCUUCAUCUUUAUCCAGUCGCAGUAGAAUUGAUGGGCAUGGGUAAUUCUUUGGUGAAUUUGGUUUAAAUCAAAUCAAAUCAAAUCCACACAAACUCUAUGCAGGUUUUAAUUAUAUUUGAAUAGAUUUAAAUUUAGUUUUCAGAUUUAAUAGAAAGACUUUGAUUCAGCAAUAAAGUUUUUUUUCUAAUAAUAAUUUUAAUAUGAUACUAUUAAUUUAGAUUAAUCAUUAAUCUGUAUUCAAGUACAAUAUAUGAAAAAUUCAUGUAUUUAAAAAUUGUAGAGUAUACAAUUUUUUUAUACGAACAAAAAAGGAUAUUUUUUUUAUCAACUUUCACACAUUGAAACUAAAUAUAUUUUUAAAAUGAUUAAAAUAUAUUUCGAGUAUUUCAUAUUUUUCAGAAAAUGUAUUUUCAUAUUUGUGCCUAAUGAUUAAAAAAAUCCAUUUUUUUUUUUUUUUUAAAUUUACGUAAAAACAAUGUUUGUUUUAUUUGGUCCCCUAAAUUUUUGAAAAAUAAUUUUUGCCUUCUAAGUUUUAUUUUUAGCACCGCCACUAUAUUUGUCAUAUAGUAAUAAUGACAAUAAUUGUGGAGGUCAUUGCUGGAUUGACUAAUGAAAAAGUGAAAACAGUGCUUAUGGCAAUGGCAGCUUCCUCGAAAUUGUUUAUUCAACAGUAAAAAUCUAUUGAUCUUUCUAAAAAAUAAUAAAAAAAAUUAUAUAUUGAUGCCUAUAUAAUGUGAAUAUUUCAGUAUAAUCUUCAUAAGCUUUGUGGGAAGCAAGAAAGCAAGCAGCAAUAUCAAUAUUUUUCAUGAUCAUGGAGAGGUAAUUCUUCUAUUUUUAACAUUUUCAAUUUUUGGUUUUAUUUUCUUAUACAGGCCAUCUUGUCAUUUAAUAUUGUUUGUGCAGUUUGAUGAAGAAGUUGCUACUGUUGGUGAUGUUUAUCGUAGUUGUUGGAUCAAUUACACUUUCUCUGGAGGUUGCAGUUGCAGGGAAGGAUCUUGAAGAUGGAAGGAAAGGGAAAUUUGGGAAUCUUCAUGCAACACUUGCAGAGUAUAAAAACAAAAAAAUGGUUUUCAGUUCAGAAAAUAUGGUUGAAGAGAGAAUGCCAAGAGGUAGAGUACCUCCGUCAGGUGCAAGCCCAUGUACACACAUUCCUGGAGGUUCUGGUCACUGUAUCCAUGGUUGACUAAGUAGUGUUUGAAGGACGUGUUUGGCUUGUGUACAAUUAAUAAUAAUCUGAUCACUGUAUCAGUUGUUAAUUUAUCUAUGCCUAGUCUAUGCCGCAUUCUGUUCGAACUAGAUUAAUGAAAAUAAUUUUUUUUUCCUUUAGGAACGGGAGUAUUUCUAAACAUUCG